GUAACACGUAGUCAACCUGCCCUGGAAACAUGGACAACCCCGGGAAACUGGGAUUAAUCCGUGAUAGGUCAUCUCAUCUGGAAGGAGAGAUGGCUUAAAGGGGUACGCGGGCUUCUUCUGCGUAUUCGCUCCAGGAUGGGACUGCGUCCGAUCAGGCUGUUGGCGGGGUAAUGGCCCACCAAACCUGUAACCGGUACGGGCCUUGAGAGAGGUGGCCCGGAGAUGGACACUGAGAGAAGGGUCCAGGUCCUACGGGGCGCAGCAGGCGCGAAACCUUCGCAAUGCGCGAAAGCGUGACGAGGUUAAUCCGAGUGGCCCCCGCUGAGGGGGUCUUUUGUCAGCUGUAAAUAGGCGGGCGAAUAAGGGGAGGGCAAGCCUGGUGUCAGCCGCCGCGGUAAUACCAGCUCCUCGAGUGGUCGGGGCGAUUAUUGGGCCUAAAGCAUCCGUAGCCGGUUCCGUAGGUCCUCUGUUAAAUCCACCCGCUUAACGGGUGACCUGCAGAGGAUACCGCGGGACU
This 517-nucleotide ribosomal RNA is filed under the name uncultured archaeon. RNAcentral describes it as "bacterial SSU rRNA". It matches the Rfam family "Archaeal small subunit ribosomal RNA", at positions 93 to 593 of the family's 1478-position model. The record is from RNAcentral.